AUUGUGGUACUCCCGGACAUAAAAUAAACGAGUGCCGCAAGAGGAUGCGGACCGGAGAAACGAGGAUACGACACCCAGGAGAAGGUCGACCAGGUACAUCGUCCGGGGCGGUUUGCUACAAGUGCCGAGCGGAAGGUCAUAUCGCACCUGAUUGUCCGCUAUGGGAGGAGAGGAGGAGGCGGCUACGACGAAGAACGUCGAGUCCAUUCCAGCGUGGUGGAGACUUCAACUGGUAAACUGGGUCACCAGGUUACACCCGAGGACGUGUGAUAGUCAAAAUGGCCGCGUCGGAGAUGAAACAGCACCGGAGCCUUCGCCUCGGAACUAUGGGAAGACACCUAGUACCGUAAUUUAGAUUUCACCAUAGCCGUAUUAAGAAAGCCGUUGUCAUUCGAUCCGACUGUACUUAUUCGAAAUUUAUGAUAGUGAGCUCGGGCUCGAGGCGACAACCAGUCGCCGAACGUAGUCGCGGUCAAGGGGAUGAACGUUUUGUUUAACCAAGGCAGAUUUUACCAGAUGUUGAUGCGUCUCCACAGUACAUGUUCGGCUAGCCCGAGGACCCGCUAUAAAUUUUAAGAUCUAUUUAACGAAAGUCCUUCAAACCGACAAACGGCUAGCACCCUUCCCCAAUUUCCUCCAACUAAGUAACUCCAAUUUCCCUCACUUUCCGAAUGAAGACUUUUCUCCGCGAAUCCGAUGAUUUCGUGCCCUUAGACGCACCCAUCGUAGUUUUCCUCGACAGCGUCACCG
RNAcentral lists this unclassified non-coding RNA (750 nucleotides) under Bombus terrestris (buff-tailed bumblebee). Its description in RNAcentral is "misc RNA ENSBTSG00005036786.1". The record is from RNAcentral. Lineage: Eukaryota; Metazoa; Arthropoda; Insecta; Hymenoptera; Apidae.